GACGAACGCUGGCGGCGUGCUUAACACAUGCAAGUCGAGCGGAAAGGCCCUUCGGGGUACUCGAGCGGCGAACGGGUGAGUAACACGUGAGUAACCUGCCCCAGACUUUGGGAUAACCCUCGGAAACGGGGGCUAAUACCGGAUACGACACAGCUUCGCAUGGGGUCUGUGUGGAAAGUUUUUCGGUUUGGGAUGGGCUCGCGGCCUAUCAGCUUGUUGGUGGGGUGAUGGCCUACCAAGGCGACGACGGGUAGCCGGCCUGAGAGGGCGACCGGCCACACUGGGACUGAGACACGGCCCAGACUCCUACGGGAGGCAGCAGUGGGGAAUAUUGCACAAUGGGCGGAAGCCUGAUGCAACGACGCCGCGUGAGGGAUGACGGCCUUCGGGUUGUAAACCUCUUUCAGCAGGGACGAAGCGUAAGUGACGGUACCUGCAGAAGAAGCGCCGGCCAACUACGUG
RNAcentral lists this ribosomal RNA (462 nucleotides) under uncultured bacterium. Its description in RNAcentral is "partial 16S ribosomal RNA". It matches the Rfam family "Bacterial small subunit ribosomal RNA", at positions 28 to 507 of the family's 1533-position model. The record is from RNAcentral.